This 922-nucleotide ribosomal RNA is filed under the name Salmonella enterica subsp. enterica serovar Saintpaul. RNAcentral's name for it is "partial 23S ribosomal RNA". It matches the Rfam family "Bacterial large subunit ribosomal RNA", at positions 711 to 1552 of the family's 2925-position model. The record is from RNAcentral. Lineage: Bacteria; Pseudomonadati; Pseudomonadota; Gammaproteobacteria; Enterobacterales; Enterobacteriaceae.
AGACCCGAAACCCGGUGAUCUAGCCAUGGGCAGGUUGAAGGUUGGGUAACACUAACUGGAGGACCGAACCGACUAAUGUUGAAAAAUUAGCGGAUGACCUGUGGCUGGGGGUGAAAGGCCAAUCAAACCGGGAGAUAGCUGGUUCUCCCCGAAAGCUAUUUAGGUAGCGCCUCGUGAAUUCAUCUCCGGGGGUAGAGCACUGUUUCGGCUAGGGGGCCAUCCCGGCUUACCAACCCGAUGCAAACUGCGAAUACCGGAGAAUGUUAUCACGGGAGACACACGGCGGGUGCUAACGUCCGUCGUGAAGAGGGAAACAACCCAGACCGCCAGCUAAGGUCCCAAAGUCAUGGUUAAGUGGGAAACGAUGUGGGAAGGCCCAGACAGCCAGGAUGUUGGCUUAGAAGCAGCCAUCAUUUAAAGAAAGCGUAAUAGCUCACUGGUCGAGUCGGCCUGCGCGGAAGAUGUAACGGGGCUAAACCAUGCACCGAAGCUGCGGCAGCGAACGUAUCACUUAAAGCGAUUCAGCGGGUUACGAUUGACGGAGCGAAGCGACGUCAAAGCGUAUACAAAGUCGAGUCGGUUUAAGGAUACGUUCGUUGGGUAGGGGAGCGUUCUGUAAGCCCGUGAAGGUGGCCUGUGAGGGUUGCUGGAGGUAUCAGAAGUGCGAAUGCUGACAUAAGUAACGAUAAAGCGGGUGAAAAGCCCGCUCGCCGGAAGACCAAGGGUUCCUGUCCAACGUUAAUCGGGGCAGGGUGAGUCGACCCCUAAGGCGAGGCCGAAAGGCGUAGUCGAUGGGAAACGGGUUAAUAUUCCCGUACUUGGUGUUACUGCGAAGGGGGGACGGAGAAGGCUAUGUUGGCCGGGCGACGGUUGUCCCGGUUUAAGCGUGUAGGUGUGUGUUCCAGGUAAAUCCGGUUCACUU